UACGUAGGGCGCAAGCGUUAAUCGGAAUUACUGGGCGUAAAGCGUGCGCAGGCGGCGAUGUAAGACAGAUGUGAAAUCCCCGGGCUCAACCUGGGAACUGCAUUUGUGACUGCAUCGCUGGAGUACGGCAGAGGGGGAUGGAAUUCCGCGUGUAGCAGUGAAAUGCGUAGAUAUGCGGAGGAACACCGAUGGCGAAGGCAAUCCCCUGGGCCUGUACUGACGCUCAUGCACGAAAGCGUGGGGAGCAAACAGG
RNAcentral lists this ribosomal RNA (253 nucleotides) under uncultured bacterium. Its description in RNAcentral is "partial 16S ribosomal RNA". It matches the Rfam family "Bacterial small subunit ribosomal RNA", at positions 524 to 776 of the family's 1533-position model. The record is from RNAcentral.